GGCAGCCCACGCCUCCCAGGGAUUGCAGGCCUGGGCGCCGGGGUUGGACCAGUCUCCCGGGCAUGGCACGCCCUGGUUAUUCUGUACCCGUGAUUUGUGGCGGGGCAAGACGUUAAGUUGGGUGACACCGAGGUGAGCCACGGUCCUCGGCACCAGAUGAGGAACCACUGUCUCAAUAAGGUCUCAGUGCUGUGUGUGUAAUGGUUACCGUGAGAGCUUCCCUGCAAUCCGAAUUUGUGUGUCUCAUUCUCAGUGACACCAGUGAUGCUGUUAAACAAGGACAAUCCGGUUCAUGGAUUGUGACAACGCACGCUGACAUCAAGCAGACCCUGCCGUCAGGUACAGAGGGCACCACAGUGACCAGGAACUGCUGUCCUUUCAUACCAGGUUUUAGGAGGCUUUACCAGAAGGAAUGGAAAAUGCUGGUGGGCAGUAAGAUUGAAACAGCAUCUGAGGACUGGUUCUGCACAAAACCUUAAAUUCUUCAAGGACUUUGACAUUUGUUUAUUCUUGUAACAAAUUAAAACCUAUCCUGUGUGUUGGUUAGAGAUCUUCAAACUGUAAAUACCUUGAGGCAGGAGUGAGGUUUUUAUCUUUUAAAGGACAGGCCCCUACUCUCCUACGUAAUGAGUUUCUAAAAAUGGAUGUGAGCACCAAUCAAUAUUUCUCUGGUUGUUAAAGUCAAGAAUAAAAUGGUAUUUUUAAGCUCGCAACUGUGUAGGAUGAAUUCUGUACACUUUUAUUUCCCUCUGUUCUCCUUUCCUAUUUGAAAGUUUAUUAGUUUGUGGACUUGGGAUCGGAUUAUUCAUGCAUUAUUUUUUGAUGUUGUAUGUCUCUUGGUUCUUGGGUAUUUUUGACACAUAUUCUGUCUUGUAACCAUAGUUAAACAAUUGUUUUAGACCAACUCUCUGUGUGUAAUUGGCUUCAACACUCACUGCUAGUCCUUUGACGCUCUGUUUUUUUCCAUUCUUGAGUAAUUUUAAGUCAUCACUUGGGCAGUUGAAAUAUAUUUUAAAGUGAUUUAAAGAAUAUGUGAGUGGCAGACAUUCUGAACUCUUUUGGUUGUCUGUCCUCAAAAACUAAAACUUAUUUGUGAGUAAAAUUUUCAUCUAAGUGUUUUCCAUAUAAAAACUCUGUCAGCUACUGCUCCAUUGUAGUAGACACAAAAAAGUCAGCACAAUUUUCAUCCCUCCCUCCCUCCCUUCUCUUCCCCUUCCCCUUCUUGCCCUCCUUCCUUCCUUCCUUCUUUCCUUCCUUCCUUCCUUCCUUCCUUCCUUCCUUCCUUCCUUCCUUUUUCUUUUGUUUCUGAAUGUACAAAGAAAACACUUAAAAAUUUGCUUGUAAUUUAAAAACUUG
This 1356-nucleotide long non-coding RNA is filed under the name Homo sapiens (human). Its description in RNAcentral is "non-protein coding lnc-PTS-1:15". The record is from RNAcentral. Lineage: Eukaryota; Metazoa; Chordata; Mammalia; Primates; Hominidae.